This 404-nucleotide unclassified non-coding RNA is filed under the name soil metagenome. RNAcentral describes it as "partial contains 5.8S ribosomal RNA, internal transcribed spacer 2, and large subunit ribosomal RNA". The stretch from base 1 to 121 matches the Rfam family "5.8S ribosomal RNA", at positions 35 to 154 of the family's 154-position model. The record is from RNAcentral.
GAUGAAGAACGUAGCGAAAUGCGAUAAGUAAUGUGAAUUGCAGAAUUCAGUGAAUCAUCGAAUCUUUGAACGCACCUUGCGCCCUUUGGCUAUUCUGAAGGGCAUGCCUGUUUGAGUAUCAUGAACACCUCAACUCUCAUGGUUUGCCAUGAUGAGCUUGGACUUUGGGGGUCUUGCCGGCCUAUGGGUCGGCUCCUCUCAAAUUAAUCAGCUUGCCAGUGUUUGGUGGCAUCACAGGUGUGAUAACUAUCUACGCUUGUGGUUUUCCAUCAGGUAACCUUCAGUGAUGGAGGUUCGCUGGGGCUCAUAAAUGUCUCUCCUCAGUGAGGACAGCUUUUUUGAACGUUUGAUCUCAAAUCAGGUAGGACUACCCGCUGAACUUAAGCAUAUCAAUAAGCGGAGGA